GGGGAUAUAGCUCAUUUGGUAGAGUGCUUGCCUAGUAUGCACGAGCCACUGAGUUCAAUCUCUAGUGUUGCCA
RNAcentral lists this transfer RNA (73 nucleotides) under Heterocephalus glaber (naked mole-rat). It matches the Rfam family "tRNA". From Rfam's summary of the family: Transfer RNA (tRNA) molecules are approximately 80 nucleotides in length. Their secondary structure includes four short double-helical elements and three loops (D, anti-codon, and T loops). Lineage: Eukaryota; Metazoa; Chordata; Mammalia; Rodentia; Bathyergidae. The record is from Rfam by way of RNAcentral.